This is a non-coding RNA of Dipodomys ordii (Ord's kangaroo rat), 72 nucleotides long. The record is from Rfam. Lineage: Eukaryota; Metazoa; Chordata; Mammalia; Rodentia; Heteromyidae.
GGGAAGGUGGCUCAGUGGUCGAGCGCUUGCCUUGCAUGCAUGAGGCCCUGGGUUCGAUUCCUUACCACCACA